Molecule: long non-coding RNA, 2013 nt
Filed under: Capsicum annuum
Lineage: Eukaryota; Viridiplantae; Streptophyta; Magnoliopsida; Solanales; Solanaceae
Description: long non-coding RNA (CANN_LNC005462)
Source: RNAcentral
CUGGACCCUCACUGAUUUUGGUGUCAUUCCUGCAUUAUCUUCACUGUCCUGAUUUUCAUUAUUUCGUUCAUUUCUUUGAUUGGUGCUCACUCCAUCAUUUAGUGAGUCCCUCUAAAUUUGAAGAGGUUCCUCUAGUUCUGCGCCAUCCUUGUAUCUCAAGUCCACCAUGCUUUUGAUUCAUCAAAGAUAACAUGGACGCUUUCUUCUACACACUGGGUCCUCUUGUUAAAAAACCUGUAAGCCUUGCUUGUUGAUGAGUACACAACAGACACCUUUUCAUCACUCUUAGUAUCAAACUUUUCAAGAUCAUCUUUGCCAUUGUUUAGGAUAAAGCACUUGCAUCCAAUGGCCCUUAGGUAACCCAGUUUGGGUUUCUACUGUUCAACAGUUCAUAUGGAGUUUUGUUCAGCAUUGAUCUAAUCAAGCAUCUAUUUGUUACAUGGAAGGCAGUGUUUACUGCCUCAGCCUAAAAAUUCUUCUGGAAACCAAAUUCUAUCAACAUUGUACUUGCAAUAUCCAUCUGUUCUUUCUUUCCACAACUCUAUUUUGUUAGGGAUUUCUAGAUGCUGAUAAAUUGUGACUGAUUCCAUGCUCUGCACAAAACUGGUCCAUCUUAUAUCCGUUAGUAUUGUGUUGAGAAAUUCGGAUUGUUACACCAUUCACAACUUCAGGGGGUAUAUCCGUUCCAUUGGUCGCAAUUCCUCAGUUCCCUUUUAUAUCAUAUUUGAGCUAGGUUUAGGGGGUUUAUCAUUCUUCGCACCAAAUUUGUUUUGGCCAGCAACUGGAGCCUAAUGUUGUGGUAUGUCCACUUUAGAUGCUUCACAAUUGCCCUAGGCCUAGUUGAGUAUUUCUAGUUUGUCGUUCACUAAAGGAGCACUGUUCCAUUGGAUUUGAGUGAGCCCUCAAGAUUUGAGAAGUAAUUUGUCUUCCAUUUCUCUUUGGACUAUCCUCAUGUGAUGGUGCAUGAACUCUGAUACUACUAGUAGCUAUUAAUGUGUUCAAUAUCCACAUUGAGGCCUCGCACUAAUAGUGAUUCGGCCGCAUAAGAUCCAGGGGAAUAGUUUCCUAAUUUUUUUUUUUUGCAUAUUUAAGGCUUGAACACGAGAUCAUUGAUUAAGAGUGAAGGAAUCCUAUUCAUUCCACCAUUGGAUAUUUGCAUUUUUCAGCAUUAUGUAUCCAUGUGUGUUGUAUAAUUUUUGGAUUUGAUGAUAGCUUAGAUGAAGUACUGAUCUUUGCCAUUAAUAUAUCAAUCUUGAAUAAUAGUGUAUAAGAUUUUCGUUUACUGAACAUUUACACAGCUUCCAUUCUUUGUAGGACAAUUAAACUUGGGAGGAGUGAAACUUAACCAUCAGACUUAAUUAUCAGAGAACAGCAAGCAGUUAAUGAUGGACUAUACAAGUUAAUCUUCUGCAAAGGUCUGCCAGAAUUACUAAUAAGGCAUAUUAGGUUUGUGAAGACAGCUGAAUUUCUCAAAGAUUACCAAGUAUUAAUUAAGAAAGAAACAGACAGAAAUCUAGGGUUCUAAUAUAUAAAUCAAUGAGCUCAGUACAAAAAAAAAAAAAAUGUGAUCCCAAUCUUGGCAAAGAUUUUCCUUGACUAACCGAAAUGAUGCUCUGGUGCACUUGCAAUGAGAAAUAAAGGAAAAAGAACAAAAAAACGGUACUGGAACAACCAUUCUAAUCAUUUUCUUGGAUUACAGUGUUCAUAACUUAAGAAAAUGGAGAAUGUGGUCCAGGGUGCAGCGAACACUCUAAAUGUCUUAAAUCUUCAAAAAAAAAAUUCAGGAUGAAUGUGAGAAUGUUGUUUCAACGGACAGCACGGAUCCUGACAUCUCUCUUGCUACUUGAUAAAAUAAAUUACAGUAGAAAAAAUGCUGCUGAGAUAUUUUAUGAUGCGUUUAUAGCAGCAUGGAUUUGUUCCAAAGUUCUUCCUUUGGUUUCAGGUACUAUCUUGAUCACAAACAAAAUGGAGAGCGCAUUUACUGCAGCAUAAAGAACGAAAGUACCUGCAAAC